UACAGAGGUCCCAAGCGUUGUUCGGAUUCACUGGGCGUAAAGGGUGCGUAGGCGGUCGGGUAAGUCUGACGUGAAAUCUCCAAGCUCAACUUGGAAAUGGCGUCGGAUACUAUUCGGCUUGAGGAAUGGAGGGGAGACUGGAAUUCUCGGUGUAGCAGUGAAAUGCGUAGAUAUCGAGAGGAACACCAGUGGCGAAGGCGAGUCUCUGGACACUUCCUGACACUGAGGCACGAAAGCCAGGGGAGCAAACGGG
Molecule: ribosomal RNA, 253 nt
Filed under: uncultured bacterium
Lineage: Bacteria
Description: partial 16S ribosomal RNA
Rfam family: Bacterial small subunit ribosomal RNA
Source: RNAcentral